This 434-nucleotide ribosomal RNA is filed under the name uncultured bacterium. Its description in RNAcentral is "partial 16S ribosomal RNA". It matches the Rfam family "Bacterial small subunit ribosomal RNA", at positions 29 to 506 of the family's 1533-position model. The record is from RNAcentral.
AGCGAACGCUGGCGGCAGGCUUAACACAUGCAAGUCGAGCGGGCGUAGCAAUACGUCAGCGGCAGACGGGUGAGUAACGCGUGGGAACGUACCUUUUGGUUCGGAACAACACAGGGAAACUUGUGCUAAUACCGGAUAAGCCCUUACGGGGAAAGAUUUAUCGCCGAAAGAUCGGCCCGCGUCUGAUUAGCUAGUUGGUGAGGUAACGGCUCACCAAGGCGACGAUCAGUAGCUGGUCUGAGAGGAUGAUCAGCCACAUUGGGACUGAGACACGGCCCAAAUCCCACCGGAAGGCAGAAGUGGGGAAUAUUGGACAUUGGGGGCACCCCGAACCCCGCCUGGCCGCGUAAGUGAUGAAGGCCCUAGGGUUGUAAAGCUCUUUUUGGCGGGAAGAUAAGGCGGGACCCGAAAAAAAAACCCCCGGCAAAUUUCGG